GAUUAAAUUAACGUCUCCACCUUUAUUUAAAGGUUAUUUUGUUCAAAAUUUCAUACAUACCAAUUUUGAACUCCUUUAUUUCCUACUCCACACUUCAAAAUGCAUAUCUUUUUUUUGAAUAACAAUUCUUCAAUUUACGCGUAUUUUCUUAGUCUUGAAUGGCUAGAGAGAAAAGAGUGCUUUUGGAAAAGGCUUCUGGAACAGAUUAGUGG
This 212-nucleotide unclassified non-coding RNA is filed under the name Sphaerocarpos donnellii. Lineage: Eukaryota; Viridiplantae; Streptophyta; Marchantiopsida; Sphaerocarpales; Sphaerocarpaceae. The record is from RNAcentral.